Molecule: ribosomal RNA, 497 nt
Filed under: uncultured bacterium
Lineage: Bacteria
Description: partial 16S ribosomal RNA
Rfam family: Bacterial small subunit ribosomal RNA
Source: RNAcentral
GAUGAACGCUGGCGGCGUGCCUAAUACAUGCAAGUCGAGCGAACAGACGAGGAGCUUGCUCCUCUUACGCGAGCGGCGGACGGGUGAGUAACACGUGGAUACCCUACCUAUAGGACUGGGAUAACUUCGGGAACCCUGAGCUCAUACCGGAUAAUAUAUUGAACCGCAUGGUUCUAUAGUGAAAGCGCUUUUUGCUGUCCCUUAUAGAUGGAUCCUGGUCGCAUUAGCUAGUUGGUAAGGUAACGGCUUACCAAGGCAACGAUGCGUAGCCGACCUGAGAGGGUGAUCAGCCACACUGGAACUGAGACACGGUCCAGACUCCUACGGGAGGCAGCAGUAGGGAAUAUUGGACAAUGGGCGAAAGCCUGACGGAGCAACGCCGCGUGUGUGAUGAAGGUCUUCGGAUCGUAAAGCUCUGUUAGUAGGGAAGAACGAAUGUGUAAGAAAACAUGCCCGUCUUGACGGUACCAACAGAGAAAGCAACGGCUAACUACGUG